RNAcentral lists this ribosomal RNA (466 nucleotides) under uncultured bacterium. Its description in RNAcentral is "partial 16S ribosomal RNA". It matches the Rfam family "Bacterial small subunit ribosomal RNA", at positions 28 to 507 of the family's 1533-position model. The record is from RNAcentral.
GAUGAACGCUGGCGGCGUGCUUAACACAUGCAAGUCGAACGAUGAAGCCCAGCUUGCUGGGUGGAUUAGUGGCGAACGGGUGAGUAACACGUGAGUAACCUGCCCUUAACUCUGGGAUAAGCCUGGGAAACUGGGUCUAAUACCGGAUAGGAGCGUCCACCGCAUGGUGGGUGUUGGAAAGAUUUAUCGGUUUUGGAUGGACACGCGGCCUAUCAGCUUGUUGGUGAGGUAAUGGCUCACCAAGGCGACGACGGGUAGCCGGCCUGAGAGGGUGACCGGCCACACGGGGACUGAGACACGGCCCAGACUCCUACGGGAGGCAGCAGUGGGGAAUAUUGCACAAUGGGCGCAAGCCUGAUGCAGCGACGCCGCGUGAGGGAUGACGGCCUUCGGGUUGUAAACCUCUUUCAGUAGGGAAGAAGCGAAAGUGACGGUACCUGCAGAAGAAGCACCGGCUAACUACGUG